CAGAAGUCUUGCUCAAUGCUCCUGGCUGAAUAAACCAUUUCCUUCUUUAACUCAGUGUCUGAGGAGUUUUGUCUGCGGCUCGUCCUGCUACAUUUCUUGGUUCCCUGACCGGGAAGCGAGGUGAUUGGCAGAUGGUCGAGGCAGCUCCUUAGGCGGCUAAAGCCUGCCCUGUGGAACAUCCCUGCAGGGGACUCUGACCAGCCUGAGCGACGUGGAUCCUGAGAGCGCUUCUGGGUAGGCAUUUGCCCCAGUGGGAUGCCUCACCAGAGCAGUGUGUGGAAGGCCCCCAUGGAGUCUCAACACGGUGGCUGAACACCGGGAAGGAACUGGUAUUUGGAGUCCGGACAUCUGAAACUUGAGAAAGACACUGAAGGAAUUAAAUCAGCUUGUCCAGCAGCAAGCUUCAGAGCCAAAUAUAAGCACACCUCAUAAUUCAGAGACCUCGUGAUGGGUCCUCAGAAGACACACCCAGCAGCUGCCAAAUGAACAGCAGAUGACGGAAAGGGGCCCUUGGCCUGAUCUCUCAUGGGAGACAGUGACCUUUCCUGAGUUGAAGAUGGUGAAAUGCCAGAAGGAGCUGAUGAGGCUGUCCCACACACUGACACUGCUAUGAUAUCAUGAUUGAAUUUCACUUUUUUCUCCCACCAUAAUGUAAUUUCUGGGCAGUGAUUGGGGUGUUGAUUCAUAAACACCCCUUACUGUUCUGCAUUGGAUUAAUCAUGAUGUACUGUCUUUUUCUCACUAUUUACAAAGUACAGCACCAUGAGAAUCCCUGAAUUUUAGAAUAAGUUUCUCUCCACUGGAAUAUAACACAUAUUUUGGGUUCUUUGCCUGGACUGGUCAUUUCUUUCUUUUACUAAUUGUUGUGAAAGAAUGACAGAGAUGUACAACAUGGUUUUUGAAUGGAUGCUGAGUUUAACUCUCCCGCUUACCAGAGAUAAAGUUGGCCAUACACACACGUCUCUUAUAUAAGAGUUUAUUCAUUGGCAGACACUUUGAUGAUGACAUUGAGUUAGAUGAAAUACUGGUUCCAGUUUGUAGCACUUUAUGAAUUUUCAUGUAAAGUGAUCAUUCAAUUUAAGGUUUCUGCACACAUCUUACAAAGCAUAUCUGUUUAUCAGAGCUCAUUUACUUAAGAGGAUUAAAAUGAAAUCUCUCCUCAUGAGCCAAGGGUGAAAUAGCUAGUGUCCGCUCCUAAAUAUGUGAACUAAUAUGUUUUUCCAUGGGCAAGCAAGAUUUUGUUUUUCUCCUAUUUUUCUUCUUCAGAAGGAAAUGAUUAAAAUAUUAAUAACACAAAAAUAAAUAUACAUUAUAAAACUCAAAAAAAUAAGGAUUUUUAUUGGAGUAAAGUUUUUAGUGGAGUAAAUUAUACAAUAUUAAAAAAGCAAUGGAAUUUAAAAGCAUGCCAUUUUUAAGUUUCCCUUUAUUAAUACAUUAGCAUACACAAAAUCUCAAUUAAAAAUUGCUUUAAAAGAUACUAAGUGCCAUUCAACUCUUAUUCUUUUAUCAUCUUCAAAAUAGCUGUUUAAAUCUAUAUUUAUACAAAAUAGCUGUUUAAAAAAUAUCUUUUUUUAAUUUUUUUCAUUUUUUU
Molecule: long non-coding RNA, 1591 nt
Filed under: Homo sapiens (human)
Lineage: Eukaryota; Metazoa; Chordata; Mammalia; Primates; Hominidae
Description: HSALNT0137307
Source: RNAcentral